UACGUAGGGUGCGAGCGUUAAUCGGAAUUACUGGGCGUAAAGCGUGCGCAGGCGGUUUUGUAAGCCAGGUGUGAAAUCCCCGGGCUCAACCUGGGAAUGGCAUUUGGGAUUGCAAGGCUGGAGUGUGGCAGAGGAGACUGGAAUUCCUGGUGUAGCAGUGAAAUGCGUAGAUAUCAGGAGGAAUACCGAUGGCGAAGGCAGCCCCCUGGGCUAACACUGACGCUCAUGCACGAAAGCGUGGGGAGCAAACAGG
RNAcentral lists this ribosomal RNA (253 nucleotides) under uncultured bacterium. RNAcentral's name for it is "partial 16S ribosomal RNA". It matches the Rfam family "Bacterial small subunit ribosomal RNA", at positions 524 to 776 of the family's 1533-position model. The record is from RNAcentral.